CCUAAGGUGACUGAGGAGGGACAUUA
Molecule: ribosomal RNA, 26 nt
Filed under: Septoria tormentillae
Lineage: Eukaryota; Fungi; Ascomycota; Dothideomycetes; Mycosphaerellales; Mycosphaerellaceae
Description: partial 18S ribosomal RNA
Source: RNAcentral